This 254-nucleotide ribosomal RNA is filed under the name uncultured bacterium. RNAcentral describes it as "partial 16S ribosomal RNA". It matches the Rfam family "Bacterial small subunit ribosomal RNA", at positions 524 to 776 of the family's 1533-position model. The record is from RNAcentral.
CACGUAGGGUGCAAGCGUUGUCCGGAUUCAUUGGGCGUAAAGGGCUAGUAGGCUGCUUAGCAAGUCGGGUGUGAAAACUUCAGGCUCAACCUGGAGCGGCCAUCCGAUACUGCUAUGGCUAGAGUCCGGUAGGGGACCACGGAAUUCCUGGUGUAGCGGUGAAAUGCGCAGAUAUCAGGAGGAACACCGGUGGCGAAGGCGGUGGUCUGGGCCGGAACUGACGCUGAAUAGCGAAAGCGUGGGUAGCGAACAGG